ACAUCUCCACACGUGAGACUCACCUGUUAAGACAGACGCUUUCCCUACACUAUCCCUACAGGAAAGCAGUCGUCUGUUUGAACUGAUGUGAUUGUAGGGGUGUAUGUGGAGUGUCAUCUUCAAGGUCUGUGAUAUCUUGAUGUAGGAAAGUAGGGGUCACGUCAUCUACAGUCUUAUCUACCGCUUUCUGUAAGUACUUCUGUAUGCAAGGGAGUAUGCAACAGGUUAAAAAUAAGAAGAUGAUGAUCAUUAUAAGAACAGCUGUUCCCACCUGGAAGAGGGUCCUUUGCCAACCAUUCAUCCAUCCAAACCAUCUGUCCCAAGUGUCAGUGACUCCUGAAUUUUUCUUUAACUCGUCUGCAAGACUAUCUAGCUUCUCUAUGGCCAUAGUCACCUUACCAUUGGGCCCAGUGUUGUCUGGAAUGUAUGUGCAGCAUGUCAUGGUCUCAGGGAGGAUUUUACAUACUCCCCCUUUCU
This is a non-coding RNA of Pelobates cultripes (western spadefoot toad), 477 nucleotides long. The record is from the annotation of a GenBank genome assembly. NCBI's taxonomy places the organism in Eukaryota, Metazoa, Chordata, Amphibia, Anura, Pelobatidae.